Molecule: ribosomal RNA, 253 nt
Filed under: uncultured bacterium
Lineage: Bacteria
Description: partial 16S ribosomal RNA
Rfam family: Bacterial small subunit ribosomal RNA
Source: RNAcentral
UACGUAGGGUGCGAGCGUUGUCCGGAAUUAUUGGGCGUAAAGGGCUCGUAGGCGGUCUGUCGCGUCGGGAGUGAAAACUCAGGGCUUAACCCUGAGCCUGCUUCCGAUACGGGCAGACUAGAGGUAUGCAGGGGAGAACGGAAUUCCUGGUGUAGCGGUGGAAUGCGCAGAUAUCAGGAGGAACACCGGUGGCGAAGGCGGAUCUCUGGGCCUUACCUGACGCUCAGGCGCGAAAGCUAGGGGAGCGAACAGG